CACGUAGGCGGGUCUUUAAGUCGGGGGUGAAAUCCUGGAGCUCAACUCCAGAACUGCCUUCGAUACUGAGGAUCUCGAGUCCGGGAGAGGUGAGUGGAACUCCGAGUGUAGAGGUGAAAUUCGUAGAUAUUCGGAAGAACACCAGUGGCGAAGGCGGCUCACUGGCCCGAUACUGACGCUGAGGUGCGAAAGCGUGGGAGCAAACA
RNAcentral lists this ribosomal RNA (206 nucleotides) under uncultured bacterium. Its description in RNAcentral is "partial 16S ribosomal RNA". It matches the Rfam family "Bacterial small subunit ribosomal RNA", at positions 568 to 774 of the family's 1533-position model. The record is from RNAcentral.